Hyaena hyaena (striped hyena) is the source of this 436-nucleotide long non-coding RNA. RefSeq lists it as uncharacterized. The transcript is spliced from 2 exons. Lineage: Eukaryota; Metazoa; Chordata; Mammalia; Carnivora; Hyaenidae. The record is from RefSeq and is a predicted model, not a curated record.
GUUAGAACACACCACAGCCUUCAGCACCGGGACGCAAGGACCAGACUAAGCCCGAGGAAGCCGGCAGCCCAGCGGGGGCAGUUUCAAUCUCCAUCCCAGAUGCAGGGCUGUAGCAGCGGCCAGGAAGAAAACCGCCCCCUCUGAAAGUUGUUUUGGUGACUGUUCUUCAGAGCAUUGUUCUAAAAAUGGGAAAUUACAUAUUGCUGUGCCAAAGGAAACAAACACCUGCAGUUAAAGGAAUACCUUCCACGAGGUGGCUUUCAGAGCCCUAGCCAGUUCUGGAAGCAGGGGUGCUACAGAAGUCUCACUUGGUGCUUUUUUUCACCUUUAAGGGGAUCGGGUGCUUACACCUUUGUAACCAGGGUGGGCUUUGGUGACGACAGGUCUCUGGUGAUUGUCUUUUACUCAUUCACUCAAUAAACAUCUGUCGAGCAUC